This 57-nucleotide transfer RNA is filed under the name Ovis aries (sheep). It matches the Rfam family "tRNA", at positions 8 to 63 of the family's 71-position model. From Rfam's summary of the family: Transfer RNA (tRNA) molecules are approximately 80 nucleotides in length. Their secondary structure includes four short double-helical elements and three loops (D, anti-codon, and T loops). Further hydrogen bonds mediate the characteristic L-shaped molecular structure. tRNAs have two regions of fundamental functional importance: the anti-codon, which is responsible for specific mRNA codon recognition, and the 3' end, to which the tRNAs corresponding amino acid is attached (by aminoacyl-tRNA synthetases). tRNAs cope with the degeneracy of the genetic code in two manners: having more than one tRNA (with a specific anti-codon) for a particular amino acid; and 'wobble' base-pairing, i.e. permitting non-standard base-pairing at the 3rd anti-codon position. The record is from Rfam by way of RNAcentral. Lineage: Eukaryota; Metazoa; Chordata; Mammalia; Artiodactyla; Bovidae.
UGGCUCAGAUGGUAAAGCAUCUGCCUGCAAUGCAGGAGACCCGGGUUCGAUUCCUGG